Molecule: long non-coding RNA, 1354 nt
Organism: Lagopus muta (rock ptarmigan)
Lineage: Eukaryota; Metazoa; Chordata; Aves; Galliformes; Phasianidae
Exons: 3
Source: RefSeq, a predicted model, not a curated record
CUGGAGCCAGGAUCCACCCCUGUUCAGACCAGGGUUGGCAGUGAAGGGGUGAGUUUCUUGCUGGAGCUCCCUGCAUACCUGAGGCCUUCUGGAGAAGAUCCUGUAUGUUCACUCUGAAUACCUGAAUGUUAUUGUAAGAGCUGCGGAUGUUCAGGUGGUUUUACUGUUAUGAAUGCUGGGGAUCCUCAAAGAAAGAGUACAGGAGACACAAAGCCAGCAAAACCUCGAUGGUCCACAACAUAAACAAAUUUAAUGAGAAGAAAAGAGUCAGCAAUCAUUUCAUCUUCCCUGCAAAGCCUGCUGCUAUGAUAAGGAAAACAACAUCCAGGCCACGCAGCAAGACACCAAGACUUUGUGCUCUUGCUAAAGAGUGGGGGAACAGAAGGGAUUGACAAAGGAAGGAAAUGAGGCCACCUACUUGCUAUGAUACUGAAGAUUUUCAUCUUUGCAGACUGCUGGUGACAUGCAUCAAUCUGUACUUCAGAUUAUUACUUCUACACUCUUGCACGCUUGUAGCAACUGUGUGUUUCUAAGUCAGAAUCAGCAUGCUUUUCUCUGAUCAACAGCUGCUUGUCUAAUGGUGGAAUAUGAAAGAGUUGCAGAACUGAAGCUUGGUGACUCGCUGCCUGUUGAUGACCCUCAGUGCUGACCAAAAGCCACAGGGUGAUGCAUGAUUGAGGCAGUAGAUGGGUGACGUUCCCCUGCCUUUUGCACAAGUUGUAGGAAUUCCUCUGCAUCAGUGAACUGUGGCUGUGUUUUCCAAGAUUGGGUUUGGAAGAGCCGACCCCAGACUGUGCUUGGAGAAGGGACUUGCUUGGACAGGACUGCUAGGAAUAUGGAAAGCCUGACCUCAGAGCACCAUUUUGUGUUGCUUUGUGAAGCACAUUACUGUUGAAAUCACAUUACCAAGCAACUAUUGCCCUUUUCAAGAGGGAAGAGGAUGACAGGAGCCUAAGCGAAGCAAGGAUAAUGCAAUUUAAAGUAUUAUGACGCACAUAUAUUUAAUAGUACAUCACAUGUAAGGAAACAAGCACAAACAAUCACAAUAUUGCAAGAUGAACGCGGGUCCUACAAUGUUAAAUUUAGUGCCUUGUGAUGGAUGUUCCUUUGUUUGCAGGUUUUCUUUUUCUGUAUACGUUAUUUCUGUAGGAUAAGCAUCUUAGCGGCUGGAAGAAACAUACAACUUUUUUUAUUUUCUAGCGUGUAAUUUCUGUUUGAUUCACAGCUAAUAAAUAGGUCAUCUUGUACUUUCGAAAUGCCAACAUGCAGUAAUUCAGGGAAAUAGAGGCUCUACAUUAAAAAGCUGUCAACCUUGGUGCAAUUUUCCUGCACCCGGCGCUCCAGAAAGAUACCU